Molecule: ribosomal RNA, 486 nt
Filed under: Procambarus tenuis
Lineage: Eukaryota; Metazoa; Arthropoda; Malacostraca; Decapoda; Cambaridae
Description: partial 16S ribosomal RNA
Rfam family: Archaeal large subunit ribosomal RNA
Source: RNAcentral
GACCGUGCGAAGGUAGCAUAAUCAUUAGUUUUUUAAUUGGAGGCUAGAAUGAAUGGUUGGACAAGAAAUAAUCUGUCUUAAUUCAAUAUAUUGAAUUUAACUUUUAAGUGAAAAGGCUUAAAUAAUUUGAAGGGACGAUAAGACCCUAUAAAACUUUAUAUUUAUAAAUGAUAGUUAAUUUUAUUUUAAAAUAUUAUUUUAAAAUAUUUGGUUGGGGUGACAAGGAUAAAAUAAAAAAUAAUUGUCUUUUUUUUUAUUUACAGUAAUAUUUGGUUUAAUGAUCCUAAAAAGGAUUAGAAGAUUAAGUUACUUUAGGGAUAACAGCGUAAUUUUCUUUGAAAGUUCUUAUUGACAAGAAAGUUUGCGACCUCGAUGUUGAAUUAAAAGUUCUUUAUAGAGUAGAAACUAUAAUAGAAGGUCUGUUCGACCUUUAAAAUUUUACAUGAUUUGAGUUCAGACCGGUGUAAGCCAGGUUGGUUUCUAUCU